UUAGUGGCGGACGGGUGAGUAACACGUGGGAACGUGCCUUUUGGUUCGGAACAACUCAGGGAAACUUGAGCUAAUACCGAAUGUGCCCUUCGGGGGAAAGAUUUAUCGCCAUUAGAGCGGCCCGCGUCUGAUUAGCUAGUUGGUGAGGUAAAGGCUCACCAAGGCGACGAUCAGUAGCUGGUCUGAGAGGAUGAUCAGCCACACUGGGACUGAGACACGGUCCAG
This 225-nucleotide ribosomal RNA is filed under the name uncultured bacterium. RNAcentral describes it as "partial 16S ribosomal RNA". It matches the Rfam family "Bacterial small subunit ribosomal RNA", at positions 92 to 334 of the family's 1533-position model. The record is from RNAcentral.